RNAcentral lists this ribosomal RNA (480 nucleotides) under Triticum aestivum (bread wheat). RNAcentral describes it as "partial small subunit ribosomal RNA". Lineage: Eukaryota; Viridiplantae; Streptophyta; Magnoliopsida; Poales; Poaceae. The record is from RNAcentral.
AUGGCACAGGCGAUCGAGGCUCAGAGGGAGGGCGCAGAGGUGUACCACGGCGCGGCGCUGUGCGCGGAGAAGGCGGUGGAGCUGCUGGCCGAGACCAACAUGCCGCUGGGCCUGCUGCCGCUGGCGGACAUCCAGGAGGUGGGCUACAACCGCGCCACCGGCUUCGUGUGGCUGCGCCAGAAGAAGGCGCUCACGCACACCUUCAAGCAGAUCGGGCGGCAGGUCUCGUACGCCACCGAGGUGACGGCCUUCGUCGAGGACCGCAAGAUGAAGCGCAUGACCGGGGUCAAGAGCAAGGAGCUCCUCAUCUGGAUCACCCUCUGCGACAUGUACAUCGAGAAGGACGAUCCCUCCAAGAUCACCUUCAAGACGCCCACCGGGCUGGGGAGGACCUUCCCCGUCUCCGCCUUCGAGAAGCAGGACGACGGCAAGGCCAAGGCCGCAGCUGCCGACGGCAAGGAGGCCGUCGUGGCCAAGUAG